RNAcentral lists this ribosomal RNA (253 nucleotides) under uncultured bacterium. RNAcentral describes it as "partial 16S ribosomal RNA". It matches the Rfam family "Bacterial small subunit ribosomal RNA", at positions 524 to 776 of the family's 1533-position model. The record is from RNAcentral.
UACGUAGGGUGCGAGCGUUGUCCGGAAUUACUGGGCGUAAAGAGCUCGUAGGUGGUUUGUCGCGUUGUUCGUGAAAACUCACAGCUUAACUGUGGGCGUGCGGGCGAUACGGGCAGACUGGAGUACUGCAGGGGAGACUGGAAUUCCUGGUGUAGCGGUGAAAUGCGUAGAUAUCAGGAGGAAUACCGGUGGCGAAAGCGACUCUCUGGACGGCAACUGACGCUGAGGCACGAAAGCGUGGGGAGCAAACAGG